GAUGAACGCUAGCUACAGGCUUAACACAUGCAAGUCGCGGGGCAGCAUGGGGGUUGCUUGCAAUCCCUGAUGGCGACCGGCGCACGGGUGAGUAACGCGUAUCCAACCUGCCCUUCACCACGGGAUAACCCGGCGAAAGUCGGACUAAUACCGUAUGUUGUCCAUUGACGGCAUCCGAUUUGGACGAAAGGCUUUGCGGUGAGGGAUGGGGAUGCGUCCGAUUAGCUUGACGGCGGGGUAACGGCCCACCGUGGCGACGAUCGGUAGGGGUUCUGAGAGGAAGGUCCCCCACACUGGAACUGAGACACGGUCCAGACUCCUACGGGAGGCAGCAGUGAGGAAUAUUGGUCAAUGGGCGGAAGCCUGAACCAGCCAAGUAGCGUGCAGGAUGACGGCCCUAUGGGUUGUAAACUGCUUUUAUGCGGGGAUAAAGGAGCCCACGUGUGGGCUUUUGCAGGUACCGCAUGAAUAAGGACCGGCUAAUUCCGUGCCAGCAGCCGCGGUAAAUACGGAAGGUCCGGGCGUUAUCCGGAUUUAUUGGGUUUAAAGGGAGCGUAGGCCGCCCCUUAAGCGUGUUGUGAAAUGCGGGUGCUCAACAUCCGACUUGCAGCGCGAACUGGGGGGCUUGAGUGCGCCGAAAGUAGGCGGAAUUCGUGGUGUAGCGGUGAAAUGCUUAGAUAUCACGAAGAACUCCGAUUGCGAAGGCAGCUUACUGUAGCGCAACUGACGCUGAUGCUCGAAAGCGUGGGUAUCGAACAGGAUUAGAUACCCUGGUAGUCCACGCGGUAAACGAUGGAUGCUCGUUGUCGGCCCUUGCGGUCGGUGACCAAGCGAAAGCGUUAAGCAUCCCACCUGGGGAGUACGCCGGCAACGGUGAAACUCAAAGGAAUUGACGGGGGCCCGCACAAGCGGAGGAACAUGUGGUUUAAUUCGAUGAUACGCGAGGAACCUUACCCGGG
RNAcentral lists this ribosomal RNA (959 nucleotides) under Prevotella sp. oral taxon 317. RNAcentral's name for it is "bacterial SSU rRNA". It matches the Rfam family "Bacterial small subunit ribosomal RNA", at positions 28 to 979 of the family's 1533-position model. The record is from RNAcentral. Lineage: Bacteria; Pseudomonadati; Bacteroidota; Bacteroidia; Bacteroidales; Prevotellaceae.